This 1332-nucleotide long non-coding RNA is filed under the name Marmota monax (woodchuck). Lineage: Eukaryota; Metazoa; Chordata; Mammalia; Rodentia; Sciuridae. The record is from RNAcentral.
CCUUCUCCACCAGGCGUCCCCACCGGCUCCUGGCUGACUUCCACCACGCGGUGGCACCCCAGCCUCAUGAAUCAGCAGGGCCAGGUGAAAGGCCUCAUGGAAGUCACAGCCUCCAAGGCCACUGGCUGCCACUCCAUAGUGACGGUCCCCAGAGCCCGUGAGGGACCCUCGCUAAGCUCUGGACAUCAUAGAGUGACCCAGUAUUAGUUCUGAGAUCCUCCAGCACCCAGCUGACCUCAUGCCCUGACUGAGAGCAAGCCGCAGUUCUCAAGCCCUUGCCUGGAGCUGACCUCUCUGCCGACAGCACUUUCCCAUGUUAGAGACAGGAGCUGAGGCUGCGAGCUCCUGCGUGUGGACUCUCGAGGCCCAGAAGUGGCAGGGUGUGUCUGCCCCGUGGAGCCCUUGCAGGAGAACGCCGUGCUCUGUUCCGCCUGCCAGGAGGGUGGUGUUCGUCAGCAGGAGUCAGGAGACCCCCGGGCCGCUGUCCUGGGGUGGACGGAAAGCUCUGCCGCCAGGCGGAGCCGUGCCCACAGCCUUGGGCCCUGCAGCCCACCCCAGGAGCCACUCCUGGGGUGGGCACGUGGACCAGGAAGGAGCAGCUUCAAAAUGGUCUCCGUGAGCAGGGAGUGGCAUUCCAGCUUCAGAGAUGCCCAAGAGAAGGGGCGGAAGUUGAGUUAGGGCGCUAGGGGAGGCAGCUUGGCCCCAGCCCCUUCCUCUGGCGCUCGCCUGGAGGCAAGAGAGUUUGGAGGUUAGGCCGCGGCACCUGGCCUCUGAACCCACACCAGCCGGACCCUGGGCCUCCCGAGCCUCGACGCCCAGCCUGUGCGACGGCACGAGCCUAGUGCUCACUUCUCCAGGUUGCACUUGGCAGUGCGUGUGAAACGCCCGGCACGUGGCCGGGCCGGGGAAGUUCAAGAAACAGCGGCCAUCGUCACUGCCAUUAUUACUAUUGUCUGCUGUCACACUGCUCCUAACUGCCGGCCUCAGGAGGGAUGGAAAUUCCCCAAGUAGGUUCCUCCCUCAGCAGUUAAGGAUGGUGAGACAAUGUCACUUGUCUAACCACGUCACCUGAGCGCUGCUUGACUGACAGGUGGGUUAUUUUGGGGAGAAAAAAAAAUCAGCCGAGCUCUUAAGUGCACUGGGCCUGAAAGGUUUCUAUGACAACACACACCUGGAGGUUCUGGUGGGAGGGGAGCCCCGUGGGGACGAGUUCAGAACUGAAAUCAAGCAAUGGGGGGAGGGGGUGUCCUCCCCCUCUGUGUUUCUGGCUAUGCUUAUAGACUGACUGCUGCAGCUGGCCGGCGUCACGCGGCGUCUCCAACCCCCACGGCC